GUAGGGAAUAUUGGGCAAUGGAGGCAACUCUGACCCAGCCAUGCCGCGUGCAGGAUGACGGCCCUCUGGGUUGCAAACUGCUUUUAUACGGGAAGAAAAAAUACUACGUGUAGUAUACUGACGGUACCGUAAGAAUAAGGAUCGGCUAACUCCGUGCCAGCAGCCGCGGUAAUACGGAGGAUCCAAGCGUUGUCCGGAUUUAUUGGGUUUAAAGGGUGCGUAGGCGGAUCUUUAAGUCAGUGGUGAAAGCCUGCAGCUUAACUGUAGAAUUGCCAUUGAAACUGAAGAUCUUGAAUGUGGUUAAAGUAGGCGGAAUGUAUCAUGUAGCGGUGAAAUGCUUAGAUAUGAUACAGAACACCGAUAGCGAAGGCAGCUUGCUGAACCAUUAUUGACGCUGAGGCACGAAAGCGUGGGGAGCGAACAGGAUUAGAAACCCUAGUAGUCC
This 445-nucleotide ribosomal RNA is filed under the name uncultured bacterium. RNAcentral's name for it is "partial 16S ribosomal RNA". It matches the Rfam family "Bacterial small subunit ribosomal RNA", at positions 354 to 796 of the family's 1533-position model. The record is from RNAcentral.